GACGAACGCUGGCGGCGUGCUUAACACAUGCAAGUCGAACGGAAAGGCCCUGCUUUUGUGGGGUGCUCGAGUGGCGAACGGGUGAGUAACACGUGAGUAACCUGCCCUUGACUUUGGGAUAACUUCAGGAAACUGGGGCUAAUACCGGAUAGGAGCUCCUGCUGCAUGGUGGGGGUUGGAAAGUUUCGGCGGUUGGGGAUGGACUCGCGGCUUAUCAGCUUGUUGGUGGGGUAGUGGCUUACCAAGGCUUUGACGGGUAGCCGGCCUGAGAGGGUGACCGGCAACAUGGGGAUGGAGAUACGGCCCAGACUCCUACGGGAGGCAGCAGUGGGGAAUAUGGCACAAUGGGCGGAAGCCUGAUGCAGCAACGCCGCGUGCGGGAUGACGGCCUUCGGGUUGUAAACCGCUUUCGCCUGUGACGAAGCGUGAGUGACGGUAAUGGGUAAAGAAGCACCGGCUAACUACGU
This 467-nucleotide ribosomal RNA is filed under the name uncultured bacterium. RNAcentral's name for it is "partial 16S ribosomal RNA". It matches the Rfam family "Bacterial small subunit ribosomal RNA", at positions 28 to 506 of the family's 1533-position model. The record is from RNAcentral.